This 562-nucleotide long non-coding RNA is filed under the name Stegodyphus dumicola. Its description in RNAcentral is "uncharacterized LOC118197769, transcript variant X2". Lineage: Eukaryota; Metazoa; Arthropoda; Arachnida; Araneae; Eresidae. The record is from RNAcentral.
CGUAAACUCCAGAUCAUUGAAAAAAUUUACAGCAUCACAGCAGUAACUUAGGAACGCAUCACAGCAGUAACUUAGGAAACGACAAGAAAUGCUAUGCACAGCUGCAGGGUUUGGUUUCAGGGGUAUAUACGGUAUAAAGGCAAACAUUUUGAGUGUCACUUUAAGUAGAAAAUGCAGAAAAUGCAAUAUUCACGUUAUGUGGUUACGCGCUUUUCUGGUAUGCUUAUUCGAACGCAAUUCUGCAUUCCCUAAGGUCAUCCGAAGCCCUGGGGCUGCGGGACGAGAACUUUUGUUCUUUGAAGUCGAGAGAGAAGGUAGGAAUUAUACUUCCUAAGACUUUGCUUGGCUUUCACCGCUACCAAGCAACAACAAAAGAUGUUGAUGCAAUGAUACAAGUUCGAAUUAAUGCUAUGGGAGGAGCUGCGAAGAGUGCUAGAAAAUUUAUCCCUUUGGGCAUAUAAUUUGGAAAAGGAAGGUCUUUCGAAAACGUUCAAGACAUUAACUACCUUCUCGCGGGAUUUAUGUUUUAAAAAAAAUGUGCAAUAAAUAAGCUGCUAUAGAC